This 849-nucleotide ribosomal RNA is filed under the name Acinetobacter sp. RNAcentral describes it as "bacterial SSU rRNA". It matches the Rfam family "Bacterial small subunit ribosomal RNA", at positions 82 to 926 of the family's 1533-position model. Lineage: Bacteria; Pseudomonadati; Pseudomonadota; Gammaproteobacteria; Moraxellales; Moraxellaceae. The record is from RNAcentral.
GCUACCGGAUUCAGCGGCGGACGGGUGAGUAAUGCUUAGGAAUCUGCCUAUUAGUGGGGGACAACGUUCCGAAAGGAGCGCUAAUACCGCAUACGUCCUACGGGAGAAAGCAGGGGACCUUUGGGCCUUGCGCUAAUAGAUGAGCCUAAGUCGGAUUAGCUAGUUGGUAGGGUAAAGGCCUACCAAGGCGACGAUCUGUAGCGGGUCUGAGAGGAUGAUCCGCCACACUGGGACUGAGACACGGCCCAGACUCCUACGGGAGGCAGCAGUGGGGAAUAUUGGACAAUGGGGGGAACCCUGAUCCAGCCAUGCCGCGUGUGUGAAGAAGGCCUUUUGGUUGUAAAGCACUUUAAGCGAGGAGGAGGCUACCUAGAUUAAUACUUUAGGAUAGUGGACGUUACUCGCAGAAUAAGCACCGGCUAACUCUGUGCCAGCAGCCGCGGUAAUACAGAGGGUGCGAGCGUUAAUCGGAUUUACUGGGCGUAAAGCGUGCGUAGGCGGCCAAUUAAGUCAAAUGUGAAAUCCCCGAGCUUAACUUGGGAAUUGCAUUCGAUACUGGUUGGCUAGAGUAUGGGAGAGGAUGGUAGAAUUCCAGGUGUAGCGGUGAAAUGCGUAGAGAUCUGGAGGAAUACCGAUGGCGAAGGCAGCCAUCUGGCCUAAUACUGACGCUGAGGUACGAAAGCAUGGGGAGCAAACAGGAUUAGAUACCCUGGUAGUCCAUGCCGUAAACGAUGUCUACUAGCCGUUGGGGCCCUUGAGGCUUUAGUGGCGCAGCUAACGCGAUAAGUAGACCGCCUGGGGAGUACGGUCGCAAGACUAAAACUCAAAUGAAUUGACGGGGGCCCGCAC